GCGCGAGUAUUGCAACGGGUUAGAGCGUGCGCCCCCCGGACAGGGUGAGAUGCGGGUUCGAGUCCCGCCCCGUGCA
Molecule: non-coding RNA, 76 nt
Organism: Parelaphostrongylus tenuis
Lineage: Eukaryota; Metazoa; Nematoda; Chromadorea; Rhabditida; Metastrongylidae
Source: the annotation of a GenBank genome assembly